Molecule: transfer RNA, 63 nt
Filed under: Olethrius laevipennis
Lineage: Eukaryota; Metazoa; Arthropoda; Insecta; Coleoptera; Cerambycidae
Description: tRNA-Glu
Rfam family: tRNA
About the family: Transfer RNA (tRNA) molecules are approximately 80 nucleotides in length. Their secondary structure includes four short double-helical elements and three loops (D, anti-codon, and T loops). Further hydrogen bonds mediate the characteristic L-shaped molecular structure. tRNAs have two regions of fundamental functional importance: the anti-codon, which is responsible for specific mRNA codon recognition, and the 3' end, to which the tRNAs corresponding amino acid is attached (by aminoacyl-tRNA synthetases). tRNAs cope with the degeneracy of the genetic code in two manners: having more than one tRNA (with a specific anti-codon) for a particular amino acid; and 'wobble' base-pairing, i.e. permitting non-standard base-pairing at the 3rd anti-codon position.
Source: RNAcentral
GUUUGUAUAGUUUAAUGAAAACAUUACAUUUUCAUUGUAAAAUUAGAUGAUAUCUUACAAAUA